Molecule: long non-coding RNA, 150 nt
Organism: Oncorhynchus masou masou (cherry salmon)
Lineage: Eukaryota; Metazoa; Chordata; Actinopteri; Salmoniformes; Salmonidae
Exons: 3
Source: RefSeq, a predicted model, not a curated record
GUUCACCUGGCCCAGCCCAACAACCUUAACAUUGAGGGGAAGGCCAAGGAGUUGUUCCGCAAACUCAGAGAGAAACCCAGAGAUCUCCCUCCCUCCAUCGCUCCCUCCAGACCAGAGGUAUAGGGGGAGGGGGGGGGGGGCAUUCAGAAG